GGUUGGGCUACACACGUGCUACAAUGGCGGCGACAAUGGGCAGCGAAGGGGCGACCCGGUGCAAAUCCCAAAAAGCCGUCUCAGUUCGGAUUGUACUCUGCAACUCGAGUGCAUGAAGGUGGAAUCGCUAGUAAUCGCGUAACAGCAUGACGCGGUGAAUACGUUCCCGGGCCUUGUACACACCGCCCGUCACACCAUGGGAGUUGGUUUUACCCGAAGCUGGUGCGCUAACCGCAAGGAGGCAGCCAACCACGGUAAGGUCAGCGACUGGGGUGAAGUCGUAACAAGGUAGCCCUAGGGGAACCUGGGGAUGAUCACCUCCUGAAGCUUGGAUACCCGGGAAUCGAUUC
RNAcentral lists this ribosomal RNA (350 nucleotides) under uncultured bacterium. Its description in RNAcentral is "bacterial SSU rRNA". It matches the Rfam family "Bacterial small subunit ribosomal RNA", at positions 1207 to 1533 of the family's 1533-position model. The record is from RNAcentral.